This 254-nucleotide ribosomal RNA is filed under the name uncultured bacterium. RNAcentral's name for it is "partial 16S ribosomal RNA". It matches the Rfam family "Bacterial small subunit ribosomal RNA", at positions 524 to 776 of the family's 1533-position model. The record is from RNAcentral.
UACGGGGGGAGCAAGCGUUGUUCGGAUUUACUGGGCGUAAAGGGCGCGUAGGCGGCCACCGCAAGUCAAUUGUGAAAUCUCCGGGCUUAACUCGGAAAGGUCAACUGAUACUGCGGGGCUAGAGUGCGGAAGGGGCAACUGGAAUUCUCGGUGUAGCGGUGGAAUGCGUAGAUAUCGAGAGGAACACCUGCGGCGAAGGCGGGUUGCUGGGCCGACACUGACGCUGAGGCGCGAAAGCCAGGGGAGCGAACGGG